Molecule: long non-coding RNA, 5000 nt
Organism: Hemicordylus capensis (graceful crag lizard)
Lineage: Eukaryota; Metazoa; Chordata; Lepidosauria; Squamata; Cordylidae
Exons: 2
Source: RefSeq, a predicted model, not a curated record
GGAAGAGCUUCCUUCCCUCAAUUCCAGUCUCAGAGAAGGCUGCCUCCAUUUCAGUGUUUGGCUGCCGAACACAAACCUCAGGGAAGAAGAAGAAGAAGAAGAAGAAGAAGAAGAAGAAGAAGAAGAAGAAGAAGAAGAAGAAGAAGAAGAAGAAGAAGAAGAAGAAGAAGAAGAAGAAGAAAACUGCUACUUGCAUCAAGCAGACUAAAUUUAGCUUCCUUACCUCCUCCUCCUCAAUCAGUAGGAUUGCUGAUUUUCCAGCAAGGCUUCAAGGCGACUGUGUCAAUUGGCCUCUACUGUGCAAGCUAGCAACUGUCUGGAUCCAAGUCAAUCUACAUAACAACAACAACAACAAAUACUUACAUGCCACUUUUCAACAAAAAAGGUUUCCGGAGUAGUUUACAUCUGAAAUCCUCCACAUCAAAAUUUUCUCUAGAUUUUGGAGUUUUUGAAUUAUCUGCUCUUGUUUCUAAAGUAGAAGCAAUGCAUUAGGAAUCCUCCAUUGCUCUGAUUUUAGUUUAUGAAUUUUAUACAGCAUGCAGUUUGCUGCAGCUUUUAGUUCCAUCAGUUCCCUUAUGUCUCCCUCCACCCAUGUGUGCAUUGAUAAAACACAACAGGAAAGCAGUCUUGAUGGGAUGUAUGUGUGAUUUCAUCCAGAUUCUUUUCUUGCUGUGCUUUACCGAUGCACAGGUGCAUAUUGAUAAAGCACUGCAAAAAAGCAAUCUUGAUAUGACUCUGCAUAUGACUGAACUGACAUUCUUUUGUGUGGUGUUUAACUAAUGCACUGGAGUGCAUGUGCUCACAGAAAGAAUAUUGAUACAAUCAUACAUAUUAUUGGGGGUGGGGCUGUAGCUCAGUGGCAGAGCUACUGCUUGGCAUGCAGAAGAAGGUCCCAGGUUCUAUCCCUGACAUCUCGAAAUAUGGCUGAGAAAGACUCCUGCCUGAAACCCUAGAGAACCACUGCCAGUCAAUGUAGACAAUAUUCAAUGGUCUGACUUAGUAUAAGGCAGCUUCCUAUGUUCCUAUCCCAUCAAGACUGCUUUGCGGCAUUUUAUCAAUGUGCACAUACAGUGGGAGGCAGGGGUGGCUGGUACAGGCCCCCUCCCCCCAGGGGAGUGGCAGGAAGCAUCUUUAAGUGUUAAUUAGUUGUUGAUUACCUCCCAUUCCGCUGCACUUGAAAGCUCUUCUCAGCAGCAGCAUGCCACCCAGAACCCGCUACAGUAGAGGAUUGACUCCACCACUCAGCUCUGGCCUCCACACAUGUAUGGAGGACAUUUGUGGACCACACAAAUGGCCUCCGCCGGCUGAGUGGCAAAACUGAUCCUCCACCGCAUCAGGUGCUGAGUGGCGCAUUGCUGCUGGGAAGCGCUUUCGGGUGUAGUGGUAGGGCAGGUAAGCACCUACUAAUUUGCACUUAAAAGUGCCUCCCGCCCCCCGCCCUCAGCGAUGCCUGCCACUGGUGGGAGGAAGAGACAAAUGAACCAAAAGAACUGAACAGAGUGAUGAACUGUACAUGCUCCAAUUAUAGAACUAAUUUUAGACAUUCUUCUAGCCCAGAACUGAGGAGUAGAAUUAGGGAGAAAUUGACCCAUGGAACAAAAGAGGAAUGGAACAGGGAGAAUCUGCUCACCCCUACUUCAGAUAUCACAUUUUAAUAGAUGGGGUGUUUCCCCUACCAGGGUGAGUGCUUUAUGCUAAUAACUCCCUGUGCAAAGGAUGCCACCAUCAAAACGUGAAAGGGGCUAAACUCUUCCUGACUUUUAGAGCUGAGAUCUCUUCGUCUGUUUAACAAGAUCUCAUCAGUAAAUUAGCCUUUCCUGUGAAGGACGGCAUCUCUGGGAAAUGAGCUUUGCCCUCAUAUGCUGCAUAUUGCGGAGGGAGAGGGCUCCUUUCAAAGCGUUUGCAUCAGGUGUCCUCACUUCGAACGCACUUCGCUUUGCUGCAGGUGCCUCUUCAAAGGGUUUUGCUUUUUGUCAUAGGAGGAAGGGGUAACCACCUUCAAAGGACUUCAUUUAACAUGACUGAAGGAAUUUAAAGGCAUCCGAACAUGAAACGUCUGGAAACGUGGUUUUAAAAUUUGAUGAGCCCUGACUUCUUUCUCUCUAUAAAUGCUAGAUUUUUUCCUCAGAUAAACAUGUCAUGCGGAGGGUGGGGGUGGGGACAGUUCAUAAACAGAAUUAAAGAUACAGGCUUGAGCCAGAUAUCCAGUUACAUGAAAUGAAGAACAUUUGCUCAUGUAUGGGGGAGGGACCAAAUCCUACUCGUUCACCCACCCCAGUUGCAAUGCCAUGCCACAUAAAAUAUGCCAUAUUUAGGGAGGGGCCAUAGUUCAGCUAGAUGAUCCAGUGGUCACAGCUCAGUGGCAGAGCAUCUGCUUUUCCAUCCCUGGUUCAAUCCCCGGCAGCAUCUCCAGGUAGGGCUGGGAAAGACUCCUGCUUGAAACCAUGGAGACCCACUGCCAGUCUGUGUAGACAAUACUGAGCUAGAUUGAGCAAUGGUCUGACUUGGCAGAAGGCAGCUUCCCAUGUUCCUAUAACUCAUUAUAAGGCUGCUUGCUUAAUAUGUCAAUCUGUAGUAUACCCCAGCUCUCUGUCUCAGCCCCCCAGGGGUGCAAUGGGCUGUGCUGGGAGAGGGAACUGGGCAGCUACAGUGUUUUUGCCCAGGCAAGUGGUGACCAAGCCAAUGUGCAUGAGCAAAGCUGCAGAAUUACAUCAGGAAUUUAAGCAUCUCUGAUGUAUGCAAGUGAUUAAGAUGGGAUUCUCAGGUAGGCGAUUUCAAAAGAAACAUAGGAGAUACUUGUAAGAAAGGUUGCAUGUUGUUAUUUACCUAAGCAAGGCCAUUUCCAGUUUCCUGGGUUACUUUCCAACUUACACAGUUAGAAUCCUCAAAAACACUUCUUGGAAGUGAGACUUGCAGUUGUCUCUGCUGGCCAGAUGUUUUACAAUGAGAAUUUAUUUCUUUGUUUUAAAAACGUUGACUUCAUUUGUCUUCCAUAACGAACCCAUAGAGGAUCACACCAACAAUUAUUUAACAAUUCUGAAGGGUGUUAAAAUAUCCAGGGAUGUGUAUCAGACUAAAGUAUCAGACUAAAACUAGGAAGGCCUAGAGUCACAUCCCCAAUCACCUGGAAAGCUGAUUGGACUAAUCACUGUCUCCUGUCCUGGCCUAGCUCACAGGGUUGUUGUGAGGAUAAAAUGGAGGAGUGAGCCAUGUAUACCAUCCUGAGGAAGUGUGGAAUAAAAAAGAAUUGCAAUAAAGUGGGUGAAGCUUCUCAGGAGGUGAUGGGGCUACACACAGAUCAGAUCCUGGUUAUCUAUCCUGGUUAAAUAGGAUUCUUUAACCACAGAAGUUUGACCAAGAUUAUCCAGGAAUUCUAGAUUCUCACAAUCAGCUCCGCGGGCCUCAGUGAUCUUGGUUAAUUCUUUAACCAGGAUUGCUGUGAUUGUGUGAAUUCAGUCAAGAUGAAUCCAAACUGGAAAACCUAAGAUAUAAUAUAAUGCAGUAUGAGCAGUCUUCCUUAGGUACCCUCACUUCAUCCUGCAUCAUCAAUGCAUGAGAGAAUAUAAAUUGCAAAUCUGCCUGGAAGGUACAACUGACUGCAAGACAACCACAGUGUGACGCAUAAUGAGAAUCCAUAAUGAUAUAAAUAUUUAAUUCCUUUAACUAACUACUUCUAAACACUAUAGAUAUGCAAGUGUAAUUAAUUUUCAACCACUAUCUGCUUUUCCAUUCCUAUGCUAAUUAGCAGUGCACAGAAGAGAUGCUGUUACAUAACUGAUUUUUUUUGUAUGUACAUGGUUAUAUCCUUGUACAUUUGCACAGAAUAUGCUGAGCGCCGUAGCCUCCCUUUCAAACAGUACCUAGGGGAGUGCCUGCCACAAGAAUGACACAGAGAUUGAUACAGGGUCUUUCAUUAGAAGAUAGUGCCAGCGCAUCAUACAUUGUUUGGUAGUAUUCCCCCCCCCCCCGCCCGCUUUUGGUACAGAUUAAAAAUGUCAGUAUUGAAAAUUGGAGGCACAAGAACACCAUCAAUGGAUAUUCUUUCAUGGAGUAUGAAAAACAGGAUUGAAGCAUAUGAAACAAUUCCCAAUUUUGUACUAAGUCAUAAACUGGAAAAGCAGUCAUGGCUGACAUACAGAGCUGUUUCUCAUGACUGGGAGAAAGGGCUCAAAAGGGGCAAGGGUGUAGAGGAAGAAUGGCAGUUCAGUCCCCAAAUAGCUAAGCAAAACCUGUUUGGUGAGAAUGCCCCUCCCAAGGCCUUGUGCUGCAGGGAGGGUAGUUUGUCCCAGCCCCGCCCUGGCACGAGCCCUGGAAGACCACUGAUUGGUCUAGUGCCUCUUUGAGGGCAGGGUUGGAACUGCAGCUAUUGCUGCUCCCCACUCCAAACUCUCAGUUGGUGCUGGGAUUCCCCCCCCCCUCCCUAGGUGGUGAACGGGCAUGUGCUGGUCAUCCUUUUAGGGGCCAAGUAGGAAUUUUUGGCUUCCAACAUAUAGGCUGCUGUGGGGGGGGGGGGGUUUCGCCUACUCUGUUCUGCUUGUCUAGAUGUUAGCUAGUUAGUUCGGUCACAGCUGGGAGGGACAGAGCAGACUGGGUUGUCAGGAAAAGUAGGAUUUAAUAAAGGUGAGCACUCUUGGACAGUUAAAUAGGUUCAUUGGUCUAUCACUCCCUUGUGGUUUGAGCGGCCCAGGGAUGCUGGUGGGCCAUGUAACCAGCUUCAGGACUUCACAAAUCCUAGAGCUCAACCGUCCAAGAGAUGUGAAGGCCUAGAAGUGUCGAGACCCCUGUGGGGUUGACUAUGAAGGGAUAGGAGCGGGUUGUUUACCUGCUUCCUUCUGGAGUCAGGGUGUGGCGACCACAUAGGACACAGGGAAGGACUGUGGUGUCUAAACCUGGUCUUGUUAAGCUCGCACUGUCGGGGGUGGGGGUGGAGUAUUUUGCCUUCUUUUGUCCACUACUCAAUUAAUUGAUUGAUAAAUAAAGUUGUGGCCCUUUAUACCCAA